GCCUCAUUGAAUCCAUUAAUGUCAUAUGAAUGUCCCUUCACCAAGUAGGUUCUCCCUGUAAACAGGGGCUUGGCUCCAAAACACCUCAAACAAUCGGAUAUAGUAUAAUCAUAGGCCAAUCAAAUUAACUAACAACAUAAAACACACGGAAAUAAAAAAAACGUGAAUUGUUUAGUUUAUGUUAGGCUCAGAAUAUAUUACAGCUCUCUCAGUCACGAAUUUUCAGAAGCAGAACUGGCAUAAAGCUGAAUAAUUUGUC
RNAcentral lists this long non-coding RNA (259 nucleotides) under Medicago truncatula (barrel medic). RNAcentral's name for it is "lncRNA gene10198". The record is from RNAcentral. Lineage: Eukaryota; Viridiplantae; Streptophyta; Magnoliopsida; Fabales; Fabaceae.